This 1358-nucleotide ribosomal RNA is filed under the name Vibrio sp. RNAcentral describes it as "bacterial SSU rRNA". It matches the Rfam family "Bacterial small subunit ribosomal RNA", at positions 85 to 1439 of the family's 1533-position model. The record is from RNAcentral. Lineage: Bacteria; Pseudomonadati; Pseudomonadota; Gammaproteobacteria; Vibrionales; Vibrionaceae.
ACGGCGUCGAGCGGCGGACGGGUGAGUAAUGCCUAGGAAAUUGCCCUGAUGUGGGGGAUAACCAUUGGAAACGAUGGCUAAUACCGCAUGAUGCCUACGGGCCAAAGAGGGGGACCUUCGGGCCUCUCGCGUCAGGAUAUGCCUAGGUGGGAUUAGCUAGUUGGUGAGGUAAGGGCUCACCAAGGCGACGAUCCCUAGCUGGUCUGAGAGGAUGAUCAGCCACACUGGAACUGAGACACGGUCCAGACUCCUACGGGAGGCAGCAGUGGGGAAUAUUGCACAAUGGGCGCAAGCCUGAUGCAGCCAUGCCGCGUGUGUGAAGAAGGCCUUCGGGUUGUAAAGCACUUUCAGUCGUGAGGAAGGUGGUGUAGUUAAUAGCUGCAUUAUUUGACGUUAGCGACAGAAGAAGCACCGGCUAACUCCGUGCCAGCAGCCGCGGUAAUACGGAGGGUGCGAGCGUUAAUCGGAAUUACUGGGCGUAAAGCGCAUGCAGGUGGUUUGUUAAGUCAGAUGUGAAAGCCCGGGGCUCAACCUCGGAAUAGCAUUUGAAACUGGCAGACUAGAGUACUGUAGAGGGGGGUAGAAUUUCAGGUGUAGCGGUGAAAUGCGUAGAGAUCUGAAGGAAUACCGGUGGCGAAGGCGGCCCCCUGGACAGAUACUGACACUCAGAUGCGAAAGCGUGGGGAGCAAACAGGAUUAGAUACCCUGGUAGUCCACGCCGUAAACGAUGUCUACUUGGAGGUUGUGGCCUUGAGCCGUGGCUUUCGGAGCUAACGCGUUAAGUAGACCGCCUGGGGAGUACGGUCGCAAGAUUAAAACUCAAAUGAAUUGACGGGGGCCCGCACAAGCGGUGGAGCAUGUGGUUUAAUUCGAUGCAACGCGAAGAACCUUACCUACUCUUGACAUCCAGAGAACUUUCCAGAGAUGGAUUGGUGCCUUCGGGAACUCUGAGACAGGUGCUGCAUGGCUGUCGUCAGCUCGUGUUGUGAAAUGUUGGGUUAAGUCCCGCAACGAGCGCAACCCUUAUCCUUGUUUGCCAGCGAGUAAUGUCGGGAACUCCAGGGAGACUGCCGGUGAUAAACCGGAGGAAGGUGGGGACGACGUCAAGUCAUCAUGGCCCUUACGAGUAGGGCUACACACGUGCUACAAUGGCGCAUACAGAGGGCGGCCAACUUGCGAAAGUGAGCGAAUCCCAAAAAGUGCGUCGUAGUCCGGAUUGGAGUCUGCAACUCGACUCCAUGAAGUCGGAAUCGCUAGUAAUCGUGGAUCAGAAUGCCACGGUGAAUACGUUCCCGGGCCUUGUACACACCGCCCGUCACACCAUGGGAGUGGGCUGCAAAAGAAGUAGGUAGUUUAAC